This 305-nucleotide unclassified non-coding RNA is filed under the name plant metagenome. RNAcentral's name for it is "partial contains 5.8S ribosomal RNA, internal transcribed spacer 2, and large subunit ribosomal RNA". The stretch from base 1 to 105 matches the Rfam family "5.8S ribosomal RNA", at positions 50 to 154 of the family's 154-position model. The record is from RNAcentral.
GAAAUGCGAUAAGUAGUGUGAAUUGCAGAAUUCAGUGAAUCAUCGAAUCUUUGAACGCACAUUGCGCCCUUUGGUAUUCCUUAGGGCAUGCCUGUUCGAGCGUCAUCUAAACCUUCAAGCCCUGCUUGGUGUUGGGUGCUUGUCCCGCCUCCGCGCGCGGACUCACCUCAAAUCCAUUGGCGGCCCCCGCGUCGGCCACGAGCGCAGCAGAAACGCGAACUCGUGAGCCCGUCCGGGCGGCUCCCAGAAGCUACACCCACCCAGUUUGACCUCGGAUCAGGUAGGGAUACCCGCUGAACUUAAGC